RNAcentral lists this long non-coding RNA (243 nucleotides) under Salvia miltiorrhiza (redroot sage). RNAcentral describes it as "long non-coding RNA (SMIL_LNC010032)". Lineage: Eukaryota; Viridiplantae; Streptophyta; Magnoliopsida; Lamiales; Lamiaceae. The record is from RNAcentral.
ACAGCUGUUGCGCUCCGGAACCGCCGAGUUCCAACAGAAGGUCCGACCAGCAGCAGCCAAAACCUUUUCGUUCCAAACCUCUGAGUCCGAGCAACAGCAAAGCUAACCCCCAAAACGAACAAACGGGCCGCACCACAGCCAUCAAAACCAAACAAGCAAGACCGCACCAAUAGAGCACGCAAUCACCUCCGCCGGAUGUGGCUGUGAGUGGCCAUAUCCAGAUUCGCCGCAGCUUGAAUUUCC